ACUCGUGAACGCGAGCGCAGGCGCGCCGGAGGAAACGGAGGCUGCGCUUGCAAACCUCGCAAGAAGCUCGCCCUUGUCGUCUCCCAGCGGGCUUCUUAGCUCCCAGCUUGUUUGAUGGGGGUGCCUCUUUUUCUUUCCAGGUAUAGCUGUCCAGCGACACCAUCAUGCAUUCAUUUCUCCAACAAACAUUUUCAUGGGCUCUUGCUCUAUACUGGGGAUGUAGUGGUAAAUGAAAUGGACGAGGCCCUGCCCUCGUGGAACUUACAGUCUGGCAAAGGAAACAGACAAUAAAAUUCUCAGUUGUCUAAGGAGGCAGAGAUGCAUGGGGAGAGGAUCAGAGUAGGGAUGCGGAAGCAGCGAGUGGUCAGGAGUGUGCGUGCCAAAAGGCAGGAGACCUGUGGGACGUGGGGGCAGCUGGGGCCGGAACUUGCGCUGGAGGAACACCCCUUGCCUGCUGGGGCGAGAAGAGGACCCUUUCCUUGGGUGAAAUUCCCCAUAUUGUUAAAAGGACAAUUAAAGAAAUGAAAGAGAGGUCACCUGGGUGAAUAGGCAACUUAGAUGGGCCUCCCUGUGUUCCUGUCAUGCCUCCAAUUCUGCGUCCAGGUGUCCGGAACACAUUUUUUUCUGCCUUUGAAACCUUCCAGUACCUCUGGCAGAGAUAUACCAUACCCUCCUUGUUACCUGCGUGCGGAAUCUUAACUCAUCGUUGUGCUACAUCUGCACCUUCUGCCUUUGUGCCUUGUUUUGUGUUUUCCCUCCUCCGGGGAGAAUAUAAUAAACUUAGCUGAGUCCGUUCUACAUACAAGGAAAUAAUUUAUUUUCUGCUAUGUGUUUGGGGAUGGGGAUAAAAAAAUGAACAAGAAACUAGCUCCUAUCAUUAAGGCACAGAUAGCCCUUUGAAACAUUACUUAACGGGCUAUGGAUAAGCUUCAGGAUAUUGCUGAUCCCCUAAAAUUAUACGCUAACUUAAAUUUUUUUUUUUUUGAGACAGAGUCUUGCACUCUUGCCCAGGCUGGAGUGCAAUGGCAUGAUCUCGGCUCACUGCAACCUCUGCCUCCCCGGUUCAAGCGAUUCUCCUGCCUCAGCCUCCCAAAUAGCUGGGAUUAAAGGUGCCUGCCACCAUGCCCUUUUAAUGUUUUGUAUUUUUAGUAGAGACGGGGUUUCACUAUGUUGGUCAGGCUGGUCUCGAACUCCUGACAUCAUGAUCCUCCUGCCUCGACCUCCCA
RNAcentral lists this long non-coding RNA (1226 nucleotides) under Homo sapiens (human). RNAcentral's name for it is "non-protein coding lnc-AAMP-2:6". Lineage: Eukaryota; Metazoa; Chordata; Mammalia; Primates; Hominidae. The record is from RNAcentral.